UGGUGACUAUAGCAAGGAGGUCACACCUGUUCCCAUGCCGAACACAGAAGUUAAGCUCCUUAGCGUCGAUGGUAGUUGA
RNAcentral lists this ribosomal RNA (79 nucleotides) under Staphylococcus aureus. The record is from RNAcentral. Lineage: Bacteria; Bacillati; Bacillota; Bacilli; Caryophanales; Staphylococcaceae.